This is an unclassified non-coding RNA of Drosophila arizonae, 2549 nucleotides long. NCBI's taxonomy places the organism in Eukaryota, Metazoa, Arthropoda, Insecta, Diptera, Drosophilidae. The record is from RefSeq and is a predicted model, not a curated record.
CACACUGAUCUUUAAUAAAAGUCAGACGCUAACGCUACGGAAACUUUUUGUCAUUUGUUUUAUUUUAACAUGUUGAGAAAGUGUUUCUAUUCAAGUGUAUUGCGAACUCCAGUCGAACGCCAGUAAAAUCACAUAUUUUGUGCUGAAUAUACAAUAACGUUAGCAAACAAUUGUGAUGCGAAAGACCCGCUCGCAAACUCAGGCGGAAAAUGCCGCUUCUACUACAUCGCAGCAAUCAACGCCAACUGCAGUAAACACAUUUGAUGCGGCUAAAUUCAAGGAAUGUGAGCAAAUGGUGCAGAUGCUACGCGUUGUAGAGCUGCAAAAGAUUUUAUCGUUUCUAAACAUUUCCUUCGCUGGACGAAAAACCGAUCUGCAAGGUCGCAUCCUAUCGUUCCUGCGCACUAACUUGGAGCUGCUCGCACCCAAGGUACAAGAAGUCUACGCUCAAUCCGUGCAAGAACAAACACCCACGCUGCAGUACAUAGAUCCAACUAGAAUGUACUCGCACAUGCAGCUGCCGGCUGUGCAGCCAAAUAAUGCGAGUCUCGUUGGUGGUGCACCGACACAGGUGCCGCAGGUGGGCACCGGUAAUCCCGCCCAGAUGCCAGUCGGCGCUGGCGGUGCACCCGCCAAUAUGCUACCCUUCCUUCACACGCACGGUAUGAACAGCCAGAUGCCCAUACACCCAGAUGUGCGUCUGAAAAAGCUGGCAUUCUAUGAUGUCCUCGGCACACUAAUCAAGCCAUCAACCCUGGUGCCGCGCAAUACACAGCGUGUGCAAGAGGUGCCUUUCUAUUUCACACUGACGCCCCAGCAGGCCACAGAGAUAGCCACAAAUCGAGAUGUCCGCAAUAGUUCAAAAGUGGAGCACGCCAUACAGGUGCAGCUGCGCUUCUGUCUCGUGGAGACCUCUUGCGACCAGGAGGAUUGUUUUCCACCAAACGUCAAUGUCAAAGUGAACAACAAAUUAUGUCAGCUGCCUAAUGUCAUUCCUACAAACCGCCCAAACGUGGAACCAAAACGUCCACCACGGCCAGUGAAUGUGACCUCAAAUGUAAAAUUGUCGCCGACAGUAACAAAUACAAUUAUGGUACAGUGGUGCCCAGACUACACGCGUAGCUACUGUUUGGCUGUCUAUUUGGUAAAGAAGCUGACAUCCGCACAGCUCUUACAUCGUAUGAAGACAAAGGGCGUCAAGCCUGCAGAUUACACGCGUGCUCUGAUUAAGGAGAAGCUUACAGAGGAUGCGGACUGCGAGAUAGCCACAACUAUGCUGAAGGUGUCGCUUAAUUGCCCGCUGGGUAAAAUGAAAAUGUCGCUGCCGUGUCGCGCAUCAACCUGUUCGCACUUGCAGUGCUUUGACGCCAGCCUCUACCUGCAAAUGAACGAAAGAAAGCCCACCUGGAAUUGUCCUGUGUGCGAUAGACCAGCCAUCUAUGAUAAUUUAGUAAUUGAUGGCUAUUUCCAAGAGGUAUUAGGAUCCUCGUUGCUAAAGAGCGAUGAUACCGAGAUUCAGUUGCAUCAGGAUGGCUCGUGGAGUACACCAGGCUUACGUAGCGAGACUCAAAUACUAGAUACGCCAUCAAAGCCAGUUUCUAAAGUGGAGGUCAUAUCGGAUGAUGUUGAACUGAUUGACGACACCAAGCCGAUGAAGUCUGAUUUGUCUCCAAUGCCCGAGGAGCAGCCCACGUCCACGUCAAAUAGUGAAACCGUGGAUCUAACCUUAAGUGAUUCGGAUGAUGAUAUGCCGCUGGCCAAGCGGCGACCCCCAGCUAAACAAGCGAUUGCCACGUCCACAUCGAACGGAACGGGUGCAGUUCAACGUGCCUACGCCUCGUCGCAGCAGCCACAAAAAACUGGGCGCAGUUAGACGUAGCUAUUGCUGUUGCAGUUGGUCUGUUGUUUGCCACACCCUCCCUCCCCAACACCUUACCCCUUUUCACACAUGCUGCUGAUGCUACACAGUUGUUGCUCUUCGUUCCUACUUCAUUCUUAAACUUCAUUUUAUUCUAUCUGUAAUUCUGUUAUUUAAAUAUUGAACUACGCUCCUUCGUAUUCAAUUUGAAUCAGGCCUCUACACUUAAUAUAAAUUUAGUUAAUUCUUUUAGUUUAUUUUUAUUUGUCAUUUAAUUUAUCUUGUGUGUGCUUGCCUCGAUUAUUACACACGCCCAAACACACAGACACAUACAACAAAUAAUUAAUUAUAUAAUUUAUUGGGUUGUUCGUAAUAUAUAUAUUAUUUAAACACACACACACACGGAACUUAUAUACAAAAAAUCGAAACAAAUAGACCUAUGCAUUAAACAAUAGCGUAAUACUAAACAUAAAUCAAAUGUUAAUAUUUAAGUCUUUUUACACAAUAAUUCCUAAUUCAUAUAUAGAUAUAUAAUGCAAAAUAAAUUGGCAACAGAAUCGCAUCGAUUUUAAGUUAUAUUUCGUUCAUCUUUGAAACUAAAAAAAGAAGUAAUUCAAUCAACAACUGGCAAAAGAAGAAUAUUAAUUCCACUCAAUAAUAAAUAAAGCUAAAUCUAUCGAAGAAUUAAAUC